This 253-nucleotide ribosomal RNA is filed under the name uncultured bacterium. RNAcentral's name for it is "partial 16S ribosomal RNA". It matches the Rfam family "Bacterial small subunit ribosomal RNA", at positions 524 to 776 of the family's 1533-position model. The record is from RNAcentral.
UACGUAGGGGGCAAGCGUUGUCCGGAUUUAUUGGGCGUAAAGAGCGUGUAGGCGGCCAUACAGGUCAGCUGUGAAAACUCGAGGCUCAACCUCGAGACGUCGGUUGAAACCGUAUGGCUAGAGUCCGGAAGAGGAGAGUGGAAUUCCCGGUGUAGCGGUGAAAUGCGCAGAUAUCGGGAAGAACACCGGUGGCGAAGGCGGUUCUCUGGGCCUGUACUGACGCUCAUGCACGAAAGCGUGGGGAGCAAACAGG